AUAAACACGUUCGAUCGAACGACGUAAACAAAAACGAAAUCAAAAUAUUUAGAAAGUUAUAUCGAAACUUGUACGUUCAAAUAUCUGAUAUCAUCACAAAAAAUAUAGUUUUAUUUGUCCUUAUUCGAUUUUUAUAUACUUGAAGAAUUUCGAAACGGAAUAACAAAAAGAAAUAGAAGAAAAUAUCCUUUAUUCGCGGAAACCACGAGAGACCGAUUUGAAAAUGUCGCGUGCCUGCACGUUCCUCAGGUGUGUACGCUAAACAUAAGAGACGUAUCGCUACGCACAAGACUCGAAUAAUCUACCAACGGACAAAGCGAUUUCCGAGUUGAUAUCAUGACUUCUGGUAAAUAAGCUGCGUAGAAGACAACGAACGAUCUCGCUGAAUACUAAAAGGCUCCCCUUGGCUCGUCCAUGAGAACACUGCGUGGUCGAGCUUCUCGAAAAUAUUCUUCAUGUUAGGAAUACGAUUACAGGAAGUAACGCGAUACAGUUGGCUUCCGAACACGUGCGAACGCUUAAGCAUAAUAACACUUAAAACGGUUACUGACCGGACGAAGAUAACGCGAUUAAACGUUACAAAUAUCGAUAUGUAAAUGAAAAA
Molecule: long non-coding RNA, 604 nt
Organism: Vespula pensylvanica (western yellowjacket)
Lineage: Eukaryota; Metazoa; Arthropoda; Insecta; Hymenoptera; Vespidae
Exons: 3
Source: RefSeq, a predicted model, not a curated record